CAUACAUCAUAACUGGUCUUACUGAGUUACUGGUCUUAUAGAACUUACCUUUCAGCCUCAUUGAAAUUCUUUUAUCGCAUAACACACUUGACGCUUCUCGCCAUUCCAGUCGCUCGCACUUAAUCUUGAGUCUUAAAUCGUCGUCAAUAUCACCAUUCUUUUGCAAAGCUGAUUUUAAAUACUUUUCACUUCUCCUUUAACGUCCUCGCUUAUUGUUACUGAUCUCACUCUCCUCGUGUACUCCUUUGUCAAACUCGUACUCUAUAUACUCUGUUUUACUCUUACUUAUUCUUAAUACCAUUCUUUCAAGAAUCAAUCUCCACUCAUAUAGCCUUUGAUUAUUAUUAUAUCGUCAGCAAACAACAUGCACUACGGUAUCUGUCCUUGUGCUCCGCUAGUAAUUUCACUAUAGAAAAUAAAGUAAAUUGAUACAUUGGCGUGAUAAAUAUUGAUUUGUUUAAAAUCUACACAAUAUUUGUUAUAUGAUGUAACAUGGAUACUAAUAGGCUGGGUUAAUUUAUGGUUUAUUGUUACAUGAAACAUACAAGAAUAAAGCAUAAUUCUAUCUAGCACAAUCAUGUUAUUGCCUGAUUUUAUAUUGAUAAUGUUAUCUUACUUGGCGGUAAAUAUAAGAGAUUAUAUAAAUGAAAUAAUUGUAAUACAUUAAUUAUUUGAUAAUAGAAGAAAACAUUUUGUAUUUAAUCAGUGAACAGUUUUUUUUAUAUUUACUAUUAUAAAUGUUAAUUUAAGUAUUUAUAUAUGUCAAUUGCAUAGUAAUUUUUUUAUAAAGACCUAAGAAGAAUUUUAUUAACAUAAUUUUAAGCAGUCCAUUUAAGGCAUCGAGUUGAUUGAUGAGUAUCCAGACAUGACAAACAGCAGUAUCGUGCACCACAUGUUGUGCACGUAUAUGUGCUUGGAAAUCCACACACUGCACAAAAUAUACGUCGGGGUAAACCUGAAGGGGGUGCUUCAAUAGAAACAUAAUUUGGUGGAUCAGGAUUAUUAAAUUGAUCAUCUUCAACCAGUUGUACAAACGUUCUUCGGAAUCUAAGCAAUUAUAAAUUACAUAAUGUUCAUCAUCAAUGUUUAUUUUCAUUAGUAUAUAAAAUAGCUAUCUAAAAUGGAUCUAUAUCUAUUAAUGUACUUCAAUUUUGUAUAGAUUAAAAUAUAUCAUCAAAUGUAUGUUAUUGCAAAUAAAUGAUACAACUAUUAUUAAAAUGUAUAACUUAAUACUUUUAAUUAAUUGUUGAGUUUAUAGAUCUUACUUUUUGCUCAUUAAAUUUUUUUUGUAAAAAUUUUAUGAAAA
RNA transcript from Daktulosphaira vitifoliae (grape phylloxera), 1306 nucleotides. It is a transcript of the gene named meiotic nuclear division protein 1 homolog, with no coding region annotated. The transcript is spliced from 3 exons. NCBI's taxonomy places the organism in Eukaryota, Metazoa, Arthropoda, Insecta, Hemiptera, Phylloxeridae. The record is from RefSeq and is a predicted model, not a curated record.